Molecule: long non-coding RNA, 1908 nt
Filed under: Canis lupus familiaris (dog)
Lineage: Eukaryota; Metazoa; Chordata; Mammalia; Carnivora; Canidae
Description: lncRNA (ENSCAFG00000057606.1, ENSCAFG00845010162.1)
Source: RNAcentral
UCAAAAACAAUAUGUGAAAGUGUAAAGAAGCUUGUUUCCAUCUGGGUAAAUCUCUCAUUUUCACCAAGGGUGAUAAAAAUGAAAUGAUAAAAGUAGAAAAAGCUGGUAGUGAUUGCAUAGAAAACAAGACUGUUUGAACAAAUGUCCACGCAACAAUGUGAUAUGCAACAAGUUGGUUUUUCUUGGUGUGGGUUGGGGAUGUUUUACUUGAAAUUUGUUUUUAAUCCUUUUACUAAAAAUGGCUGCUCUGUUUAUUGCACUCAAUAAAAGAUGUUUUAGCCUGAAAACAGAACUAUUUUACCAUAAUACUCAGUUUCUUUUCAUAAACUGAGAAAAUAAAGAGAUGUCAGAGAUGCCUAAAAUUCUACAGCUUGGUUUACUUUCUAUCAAAAUGGUAAAAGGUUAACAUGAAUAUUCAGUCAGUCUGUCAUUAGUAUCUGAAUAAACUAUACAGGCACACCUCAUUUUAUUGUGCUUCACAGAUAUUGUGGGUUUUACAAAUUGAAGGUGUGUGGCAACCCUGCACCAAGCAAGUCUCUUGGCACCGUUUUUCCAACAGCAUUUGCUCAUUCAUUUCUCGGUGAUACAUUUUGGUAAUACUCACAAUAUUUCACACUUUUCAUUAUUAUUAGGUCUGUUAUCAGUGACCUUUGAUGUUACUAUUGUAAUUGUUUUGGGGCGCCACAAACCACAUCCAUUUAAGAUGGCAAACUUAAAGGAUAGAUGUUACAUGUGGUCUGACUGCUUCACCAACUGGCCAUUCUCCCCAUCUCCCUAUUCCCUGAGAUUCAGUAAGACUGAAAUUUGGCCAACUAAUAAUCCUACAAUGGCCUCUAAGUGUUCAAGUGAAAGGAAGAGUUGCGUAUCUCUUACUUCAAAGCAAAAGCUAGAAAGGACUCAUGAGGAAGGUAUGUCAAAAGCCAAGACAAGCCAAAAGCUAGGUCUCUUGUGCCAAAUAGCUAAAUUGUUUCUUCUGCAUUUGUGAAUGUAAAAGAAAAGUUCUCAAAGAAAAUUAAAACCAGCAGACGCAUGAAUGGUAAAGCCAAACAGUCUUAUUGCUGGUAUGAAGAAAGUUUGAGUGGUCUGGAUAGAGAAUCAAGCCAACCACAACAUUCCCUUAAGCCAAAGCCUAAUCUAGAGCAAGACCCUAACUCUCCAAUUCUCCAAAGGCUGAAAAAGGUGAGGAAGCUGCAGAAUUGGUUUAAAGCUGGCAGAGGUUGGUCUCCACAACAUAAAAAUAUGAGGUGAAGCAGCAAGUGCUGAUGUAGAAGCUACAGCAAGUUAUCCAGAAGAACUGGCUAAGAUAAUUAAUGAAGGUGGCUACACUAAACAACAUAUUUUCAACGUAGACAAAAUAGCCAUCAAUUGGAAGAAGAUGCCACCGAGGGCUUUCAUAAGAGAAAGAGAGAAGUCAAUGCCUGGUUUCAAAGUUUCAAAGACAGAGUGACUCUUGUUAGGGGCUAAUGAAGCUGGUGACUUGAAGUUAAAGCCAAUGCUCCUUUAGCAUUCUGAAAAUCCUAGGACCCUCAUGAAUUAAGCUAAGUCUAUUCUGCCUACAAUCUAUAAAUGGAAGAACAAAGCCUGGAUGACAACAUCUCAGCUUACAACAUGGUUUACUAAAUAUUCUAACCUCUCUGUUAAGACCUACUGCUCAGAAAAACAGACUCAUUUCAAGAUAUGACUGCUCACUAACAAUGCACAUGAACACCCAAGAGCUCUGAUGAAGAAUGUACAGCCAAGAUUAAUUUUAUUUUCAUUCCUGCUAACACAACAUCCAUUCAUCAGCCCAUGGAUCAAGGCAUAAUUCUGACUUUCACAGUUUAUUAUUUAAGAAAAACACUUUGUGGAGAUAACCAAGAUCAGAGUAGAAAUAAACAAAAUAUAAACCAAAAAAAAAAAAAAAAAAAA